This 622-nucleotide long non-coding RNA is filed under the name Vulpes vulpes (red fox). RNAcentral's name for it is "lncRNA (ENSVVUG00000019695.1)". Lineage: Eukaryota; Metazoa; Chordata; Mammalia; Carnivora; Canidae. The record is from RNAcentral.
GCCAAAAGUAAAAACUACUUCAAUUCCAUCAUUAUACUUUUCAAUUACAGAUCUUGCAUCUUUGUCCUUCUCUCUCUACCAGCACCUCAAAAUGCAAUAAACAGAAGGCAUGGGUGAGGAGGAACCAAACAAUAUUAUGAGGUACCACUUAGGGGAUAGUUGCCUCAAACUCCCAAAUCUUUAGCUCCUCCCAAUAGUCCUAAAAAUUUGCAAUUUGAUCUGGCAGGGCUCUCUGGGUAGAUCCACUCUUCUAAGCCAGUGAAAAAUAAUCUCUCCAAACAUAGGAAAGUUCAAACUUAGAAAUCCAUAGAAAGUUAUAUCUUCUCUUGGCCAGAUGAGGAGGACCCACUGUUUGGCUGAAUGGAAGCACAAUGCAAAUAAUGAGAAUAGGAGUUCUACUCUGUGGGGAGCUGUGAAUUUCACACAUUCCUUACUUGGUCCUGACCCCGCCAAACCUCCUGAUACAGAAAAAAGCAAUGAGAGACAAAUGGCUGAAUGAAGGAAGUAACAGAAACGACAGUGUUCUUUAAUACACAAAAGCAGGUAAUUAAUUCUCCCCCUUUCCUAUCCCUUAUUAACUGUGACCUGUGCACGCACUGCUUUGAGUUUCUCAGUACCACAG